Molecule: ribosomal RNA, 406 nt
Filed under: uncultured bacterium
Lineage: Bacteria
Description: partial 16S ribosomal RNA
Rfam family: Bacterial small subunit ribosomal RNA
Source: RNAcentral
AUUGAACGCUGGCGGCAGGCCUAACACAUGCAAGUCGAACGAGUGGCGGACGGGUGAGUAAUGUCUGGGAAAAUGCCCGAUGGAGGGGGCUAAAUACUGGAAACGGUAGCUACUACCGCAUACCAUCGGAUGUGCCCAGAUGGGAUUAGCUAGUAGGUGGGGUAACGGCUCACCUAGGCGACGCUCCCUAGCUGGUCUGAGAGGAUGACCAGCCACACGGGAACUGAGACACGGGCCAGACCCCUACGGGAGGCAGCAGUGGGGAAUAUUGCACAAUGGGCGAAAGUCGGAUGCAGCCAUGCCGCGUGUAGGAAGAAGGCCUUCGGGUUGUAAAGUACUUUCAGCGAGGAGGCGUUACUCGCAGAAGAAGCACCGGCUAACUCCGUGCCAGCAGCCGCGGUAAUAC